Molecule: small nucleolar RNA, 123 nt
Filed under: Erinaceus europaeus (western European hedgehog)
Lineage: Eukaryota; Metazoa; Chordata; Mammalia; Eulipotyphla; Erinaceidae
Description: Small nucleolar RNA SNORA70
Rfam family: Small nucleolar RNA SNORA70
About the family: snoRNA U70 seems to be exclusive to mammals and is a member of the H/ACA class of snoRNA which contain H (ANANNA) and ACA box motifs. H/ACA box snoRNAs are involved in the conversion of uridines to pseudouridines (5-ribosyluracil) a constituent of structural RNAs (transfer, ribosomal, small nuclear, and small nucleolar).
Source: Rfam by way of RNAcentral
CUGCAGCCAAUUAAGGUGACUGUGCUGCCCUCCCCAUGGCUCCCGGUGCAAACAGCAGCCUCCUGGGUAGUGUAUGCAGCCUGUUGCUUGUAUAGGCUGCCCUAAGGGACCCUGGAGACAACC